AGUGAACGCUGGCGGUAGGCCUAACACAUGCAAGUCGAACGGCAGCACAAGAGAGCUUGCUCUCUGGGUGGCGAGUGGCGGACGGGUGAGGAAUACAUCGGAAUCUACUCUGUCGUGGGGGAUAACGUAGGGAAACUUACGCUAAUACCGCAUACGACCUACGGGUGAAAGCAGGGGACCUUCGGGCCUUGCGCGAUUGAAUGAGCCGAUGUCGGAUUAGCUAGUUGGCGGGGUAAAGGCCCACCAAGGCGACGAUCCGUAGCGGGUCUGAGAGGAUGAUCAGCCACACUGGAACUGAGACACGGUCCAGACUCCUACGGGAGGCAGCAGUGGGGAAUAUUGGACAAUGGGCGCAAGCCUGAUCCAGCCAUACCGCGUGGGUGAAGAAGGCCUUCGGGUUGUAAAGCCCUUUUGUUGGGAAAGAAAUCCAGCUGGUUAAUACCCGGUUGGGAUGACGGUACCCAAAGAAUAAGCACCGGCUAACUUCGUGCCAGCCGCCGCAGUAA
RNAcentral lists this ribosomal RNA (506 nucleotides) under uncultured bacterium. RNAcentral's name for it is "partial 16S ribosomal RNA". It matches the Rfam family "Bacterial small subunit ribosomal RNA", at positions 29 to 523 of the family's 1533-position model. The record is from RNAcentral.